Mus caroli (Ryukyu mouse) is the source of this 465-nucleotide non-coding RNA. The record is from RefSeq and is a predicted model, not a curated record. NCBI's taxonomy places the organism in Eukaryota, Metazoa, Chordata, Mammalia, Rodentia, Muridae.
AUAAAAGCAGGAAGAGGACUUGUGGAGAAGGUUUCCAGUGGGAGAGGAAAGAGAGAUGGAAUUGCUGAUCAUACCAUGUACUUCAGACACAGGGCCAGAGGACCUGGAGCUAGAACUACUUUAAUAACUUCUACCUGAUGAUUGGUUUUCAUGUCACCAGAAAGUGCCAUGCAAGCUUCCAAAGGAGGACCAGGUCAGAUCUCUGGCAUUUGGUGUCUUGUUUCAGCUGGCAUCCUGCUGAACCUAGCCUGUUUUUGUUUUCUGUCAUGACUUCAAAUGUCUCAGAUUACUCCUGACUCCAGCAUCUCCCAAACCUGGUUGUUCUGGAUAUCCUCUUUGCACAGUAUAGUCCACAAGUAAGCUCAUUCUUAUGAAUACUCUUAAGAAGCCCAUCCAUUUACCCUACUGAAGCAACUCCUGUUAUAAUCACAGGUCUGUUGUGACUUAUAAUAGAUCAAAGUAAGC